UGCUAAUACCGAAUGUUGUCAGUUACUCGCAUGAGAGACUGAUUAAAGAUGGCCUCUACUUGUAAGCUAUCGCUUUGCGAUGGGUCUGCGUCUGAUUAGCUGGUUGGUGGGGUAACGGCCUACCAAGGCGACGAUCAGUAGCCGGUCUGAGAGGAUGAACGGCCACAUUGGAACUGAGACACGGUCCAGACUCUACGGGAGGCAGCAGUGGGGAAUCUUCCGCAAUGGGCGAAAGCCUGACGGAGCAACGCCGCGUGAGUGAAGAAGGGUUUCGGCUCGUAAAGCUCUGUUGACGGGGACGAAUGUGCGAGAUGCGAAUAGUUUCUUGCAAUGACGGUACCCGUCGAGGAAGCCACGGCUAACUACGUGCCAGCAGCCGCGGUAAUACGUAGGUGGCGAGCGUUGUCCGGAAUUAUUGGGCGUAAAGGGAGCGCAGGCGGGAAGGCAAGUCAGUCUUAAAAGUGCGGGGCUCAACCCCGUGAUGGGAUUGAAACUGUCUUUCUUGAGUGCAGGA
This 514-nucleotide ribosomal RNA is filed under the name uncultured rumen bacterium. Its description in RNAcentral is "bacterial SSU rRNA". It matches the Rfam family "Bacterial small subunit ribosomal RNA", at positions 161 to 653 of the family's 1533-position model. The record is from RNAcentral.